Molecule: long non-coding RNA, 270 nt
Filed under: Elaeis guineensis (African oil palm)
Lineage: Eukaryota; Viridiplantae; Streptophyta; Magnoliopsida; Arecales; Arecaceae
Description: long non-coding RNA (EGUI_LNC066669)
Source: RNAcentral
GCCUAGCCUAAGGUGCCACAGAUAUUUAUGGCUAAUUUUAUCUCUAAGUCUCUGAGACCCUAUGGCAUUCACAGUUUACUCAUUAAUAUUGACACUUGCAUUCAUAUACAAAUGAUAAAGACCAUCAAUCAAGAAAGCACAUGUAACAACUUUAUUUUCAAAAUAAAUUGAAUACAUAUCUUUAAUAAAAUAAAAAUUAUAAUUAUCCUGUGCCAGCACAGUUAUAAAAAUUAAAUUCUUACUAGCUACAGGUACAUAAUAACAGUCUUU